This 329-nucleotide unclassified non-coding RNA is filed under the name soil metagenome. RNAcentral's name for it is "partial contains 5.8S ribosomal RNA, internal transcribed spacer 2, and large subunit ribosomal RNA". The stretch from base 1 to 120 matches the Rfam family "5.8S ribosomal RNA", at positions 35 to 154 of the family's 154-position model. The record is from RNAcentral.
GAUGAAGAACGUAGCGAAAUGCGAUAAGUAAUGUGAAUUGCAGAAUUCAGUGAAUCAUCGAAUCUUUGAACGCACAUUGCGCCCCCUGGUAUUCCGGGGGGCAUACCUGUCCGAGCGUCAUUACAACCCUCAAGCUCAGCUUGGUAUUGGGCCCCGCCGCUCCGGCGGGCCCUAAAGUCAGUGGCGGUGCCGUCCGGCUCCGAGCGUAGUAAUUCUUCUCGCUCUGGAGGUCCGGUCGUGUGCUCGCCAGCAACCCCCAAUUUUUUUCAGGUUGACCUCGGAUCAGGUAGGGAUACCCGCUGAACUUAAGCAUAUCAAUAAGCGGAGGA